Pongo abelii (Sumatran orangutan) is the source of this 148-nucleotide unclassified non-coding RNA. It matches the Rfam family "Metazoan signal recognition particle RNA". Rfam says of the family: The signal recognition particle (SRP) is a universally conserved ribonucleoprotein. It is involved in the co-translational targeting of proteins to membranes. The record is from Ensembl. Lineage: Eukaryota; Metazoa; Chordata; Mammalia; Primates; Hominidae.
GCUGGGCGUGGUGGCGUGCGCCUGUAGUCCCAGCUACUCAGGAGGCUGAGGCAGGAGAAUCGCUUGAACCCAGGAGGCAGAGGUUGCAGUGAGCCGAGAUCGUGCCACUGCACUCCAGCCUGGGUGACAGAGCGAGACUCCGUCUCAA